AACUCAGGGAACUGAAACAUCUAAGUACCUGAAGGAAGAGAAAGAAAUUCGAUUCCGUAAGUAGCGGCGAGCGAACGCGGAUUAGCCCAAACCAAUAAAGUUUUCUUUAUUGGGGUUGCGGACAUAUCAUAACGGAGAGGUAUCGUAAUUGAAGAGGUUUGGAAAGACCCACCACAGAAGGUAAUAGUCCUGUAUGUUAAACGAGAAUACUUUAGAUAUGAUCCAGAGUACCACGGGACACGUGAAACCCUGUGGGAAGCAGGAGGGACCACCUUCCAAGGCUAAAUACUACCUAGUGACCGAUAGCGUAUAGUACCGUGAGGGAAAGGUGAAAAGAACCCCGGGAGGGGAGUGAAAUAGAACCUGAAACCCUGCACUUACAAGCUGUGGAAGCACAUUUCUUGUGUGACCGCGUACUUUUUGUAGAACGGGCCAACGAGUUACGUUAAGUAGCAAGGUUAAGCACUUAAGGUGUGGAGCCGUAGCGAAAGCGAGUUUUAACUGAGCGUUCAGUUACUUGACGUAGACCCGAAACCGGGCGACCUACCCAUGAGCAGGAUGAAGCGAAAGUAAAAUUUCGUGGAGGUCCGAACCCACGAGCG
RNAcentral lists this ribosomal RNA (602 nucleotides) under Clostridioides difficile. Its description in RNAcentral is "bacterial LSU rRNA". It matches the Rfam family "Bacterial large subunit ribosomal RNA", at positions 181 to 788 of the family's 2925-position model. Lineage: Bacteria; Bacillati; Bacillota; Clostridia; Peptostreptococcales; Peptostreptococcaceae. The record is from RNAcentral.